UCGAUGGGAAACGGGUUAAUAUUCCCGUACUUGGUGUUACUGCGAAGGGGGGACGGAGAAGGCUAUGUUGGCCGGGCGACGGUUGUCCCGGUUUAAGCGUGUAGGUGUGUGUUCCAGGUAAAUCCGGAAAAUCAAGGCUGAGGCGUGACGACGAGGCACUACGGUGCUGAAGCAACAAAUGCCCUGCUUCCAGGAAAAGCCUCUAAGCAUCAGGUAACAUCAAAUCGUACCCCAAACCGACACAGG
RNAcentral lists this ribosomal RNA (246 nucleotides) under Salmonella enterica subsp. enterica serovar Hadar. RNAcentral describes it as "partial 23S ribosomal RNA". It matches the Rfam family "Bacterial large subunit ribosomal RNA", at positions 1415 to 1663 of the family's 2925-position model. The record is from RNAcentral. Lineage: Bacteria; Pseudomonadati; Pseudomonadota; Gammaproteobacteria; Enterobacterales; Enterobacteriaceae.